CAGCAGUGAGGAAUAUUGGACAAUGAACGAAAGUUUGAUCCAGCAAUACUAUAUGAAUGAUGAAAGCUAAUUUGGUUGUAAAGUUCUUUCAAUUAAUUAUGAUAAUGACAUAAAUUAAAGAAGAAGUCCCGGCAAAUCUCGUGCCAGCAGCCGCGGUAAUACGGGAGGGGCAAGCGUUAUUCGAAAUGAUUGGGCGUAAAGAGUCCGUAGAUUGUAAAAUAAGUUAUUUGUUAAAUCAUAAGGAUUAACCUUGUAAAAACAUUUAAAACUC
Molecule: ribosomal RNA, 271 nt
Filed under: Ditylum brightwellii
Lineage: Eukaryota; Bacillariophyta; Thalassiosirophyceae; Lithodesmiales; Lithodesmiaceae
Description: partial Bacterial small subunit ribosomal RNA
Rfam family: Bacterial small subunit ribosomal RNA
Source: RNAcentral